AUUUAAAGAAAGCGUAAUAGCUCACUGGUCGAGUCGGCCUGCGCGGAAGAUGUAACGGGGCUAAACCAUGCACCGAAGCUGCGGCAGCGACACUCAGGUGUUGUUGGGUAGGGGAGCGUUCUGUAAGCCUGCGAAGGUGGCCUGUGAGGGUUGCUGGAGGUAUCAGAAGUGCGAAUGCUGACAUAAGUAACGAUAAAGCGGGUGAAAAGCCCGCUCGCCGGAAGACCAAGGGUUCCUGUCCAACGUUAAUCGGGG
This 255-nucleotide ribosomal RNA is filed under the name Salmonella enterica subsp. enterica serovar Infantis. RNAcentral's name for it is "partial 23S ribosomal RNA". It matches the Rfam family "Bacterial large subunit ribosomal RNA", at positions 1121 to 1374 of the family's 2925-position model. The record is from RNAcentral. Lineage: Bacteria; Pseudomonadati; Pseudomonadota; Gammaproteobacteria; Enterobacterales; Enterobacteriaceae.